RNAcentral lists this ribosomal RNA (440 nucleotides) under uncultured bacterium. Its description in RNAcentral is "partial 16S ribosomal RNA". It matches the Rfam family "Bacterial small subunit ribosomal RNA", at positions 338 to 795 of the family's 1533-position model. The record is from RNAcentral.
CCUACGGGAGGCAGCAGUGGGGGAUAUUGCACAAUGGGGGGAACCCUGAUGCAGCGACGCCGCGUGGGUGAAGAAGCGCCUCGGCGCGUAAAGCCCUUUCAGCAGGGAAGAAAAUGACGGUACCUGAAGAAGAAGCCCCUGCUAACUACGUGCCAGCAGCCGCGGUAAUACGGAGGGGGCAAGCGUUAUCCGGUAUUACUGGGUGGAAAGGGGGCGCAGACGGCGAUGCAAGCCAGGAGUGAAAGCCCGGGGCACAACCCCGGGACUGCUCAUGGAACUGCGUGGCUGGAGUGCAGGAGGGGCAGGCGGAAGUCCUGGUGUAGCGGUGAAAUGCGGAGAUAUCAGGAGGAACACCGGUGGCGAAGGCGGCCUGCUGGAAUGCAACUGACGUUGAGGCCCGAAAGCGUGGGGAGCAAACAGGAUUAGAUACCCGUGUAGUC